This 5132-nucleotide long non-coding RNA is filed under the name Citrus x clementina. Its description in RNAcentral is "Citrus clementina (C. clementina) long non-coding RNA (CCLE_LNC002183)". Lineage: Eukaryota; Viridiplantae; Streptophyta; Magnoliopsida; Sapindales; Rutaceae. The record is from RNAcentral.
AGCAUCACCCCCCAAGGCUAUAGCCCACCCGUUUUUGUGGCCUUUUUCCGCUGGAUGAACUUGGCGCCCUAGCCGUCGGGCGGUUAUUUUUUGGCGCGGCUUGGCCCGCGGCCUAUUUUUGGCACACAGAGGCCCCUCGCAAAGUCUCGCGGCAUUCCGAGUCCGGCGGACGAAGUGGGCCAGCAUCACCCCCCAAGGCUAUAGCCCACCCGUUUUUGUGGCCUUUUUCCGCUGGACGAACUUGGCGCCCCGGCCUUCGGGCGGUUAAUUUUGGGCGCGGCUUUGCCCGUGGCAUAUUUUUGGCACACGGAGGUCCCUCACAAAGUCUCGCGGCAUUCCGAGUCCGGCGGACGAAGUUGGCCAGCCCUACCCCCCAAGGCUAUAGCCCACCCGUUUUUAUGGCCUUUUUCUGCUGGACGAACUCGGCGCCCCGGCCUUCGGGCUGUUAUUUUUGGGGGCGGCUUUACCUGCGGCCUAUUUUUGGCACACGGAGGCCCCUUGCAAAGUCUCGCGGCAUUCCGAGUCUGGCGGACGAAGUGGGCCAGCCCCACCCCCCAAGGCUAUAGCCCACCCGUUUUCGUGGCCUUUUUCCGCUGGACGAACUUGGCGCCCCGGCCUUCGGGCGGUUAAUUUUGGGCGCGGCUUUGCCCGCGGCAUAUUUUUGGCACACGGAGGCCCCUCGCAAAGUCUCGUGGCAUUCCGAGUCCGGCGGACGAAGUCGGCCAGCCCCACCCCCCAAGGCUAUAGCCCUCCCGUUUUUGUGGCCUUUUUCCGCUGGACGAACUUGGCGCCCCGGCCUUCGGCCGGUUAAUUUUGGGCGCGGCUUUAUCCGCGGCGUAUUUUUGGCACACGGAGGCCCCUCGCAAAUUCUCGCGGCAUUCCUAGUCCGGCGGACGAAGUGGGCCAGCAUCACCCCCCAAGGCUAUAGCCCACCCGUUUUUGUGGCCUUUUUCCGCUGGACGAACUUGGCGCCCCGGCCUUCGGACGGUUAUUUUUGGGCGCGGCUUUGCCCGCGGCCUAUUUUUGGCACACGGAGGCCCCUCGCAAAGUCUCGCGGCAUUCCGAGUCCGGCGGACGAAGUUGGCCAGCCCCACCCCCCAAGGCUAUAGCCCACCCGUUUUUGUGGCCUUUUUCCGCUGGACGAACUUGGCGCCCCGGCCUUCGGGCGGUUAAUUUUGGGGGCGGCUUUUCCCGCAGCCUAUUUUUGACAAACGGAGGCCCCUCGCAAAGUCUCACGCCAUUCCGAGUCCGGCGGACGAAGUUGGCCAGCCCCAUCCCCCAAGGCUAUAGCCCACCCGUUUUUGUGGCCUUUUUCCGCUGGACGAACUUGGCGGCCCGGCCUUCGGGCGGUAAUUUUUGGGCGCGGUUUUACCGCGGCAUAUUUUUGGUACACGGAGGCCCCUCCCAAAGUCUCGCGGCGUUCCGAGUCCGGCGGACGAAGUCGGCCAGCAUCACCCCCCAAGGCUAUAGCCCACCCGUUUUUGUGGCCUUUUUCCGCUGGAUGAACUUGGCGUCCAAGCCGUCGGGUGGUUAUUUUUGGGCGCGGCUUUGCCCGUGGCCUAUUUUUAGCACACGGAGGCCCCUCGCAAAGUCUUACGGCAUUCCGAGUCCGGCGGACGAAGUGGGCCAGCAUCACCCCCCAAGGCUAUAGCGCACCCGUUUUUGUGGCCUUUUUCCGCUGGACGAACUUGGCGCCCUGGCCUUCGGGCGGUUAAUUUUGGGUGCGGCUUGGCCCGCAGCCUAUUUUUGACACACGAAGGCCCCUCACAAAGUCUCGCGCCAUUCCGAGUCCGGCGGACGAAGUUGGCCAGCCCCACCCCCCAAGGCUAUAGCCCACCCGUUUUUGUGGCCUUUUUCCGCUGGACGAACUUGGCGCCCCGGACUUCGGGCGGUUAUUUUUGGGGGCGGCUUUGCCCCUGGCCUAUUUUUGGCACACGGAGGCCCCUCACAAAGUCUCGCGGCAUUCCGAGUCCGGCGGACGAAGUUGGCCAGCACCACCCCCCAAGGCUAUACCCCACCCGUUUUUGUGGCCUUUUUCCGCUGGACGAACUUGACGCCCCGGCCUUCGGGCGGUUAAUUUCGGGCGCGGCUUUGCCCGCAGCCUAUUUUUGACAAACGGAGGCCCCUCGCAAAGUCCCGCGCCAUUCCGAGUCCGGCGGACGAAGUUGGCCAGCCCCACCCCCCAAGGCUGUAGCCCACCCGUUUUUGUGGGCUUUUUCCGCUGGACGAACUUGGCGGCCCGGCCUUCGGGCGGUAAUUUUUGGGAGCGGCUUUACCGCGGCCUAUUUUUGGUACACGGAGGCCCCUCGCAAAGUCUCGCGGCGUUCCGAGUCCGGCGGACGAAGUCGGCCAGCAUCACCCCCCAAGGCUAUAGCCCACCCGUUUUUGUGGCCUUUUUCCGCUGGAUGAACUUGGCGUCCAAGCCGUCGGGUGGUUAUUUUUGGGCGCGGCUUUGCCCGCGGCCUAUUUUUAGCACACGGAGGCCCCUCGCAAAGUCUCGCGGCAUUCCGAGUCCGGCGGACGAAGUGGGCCAGCAUCACCCCCAAAGGCUAUAGCGCACCCGUUUUUGUGGCCUUUUUCCGCUGGACGAACUUGGCGCCCUGGCCUUCGGGUGGUUAAUUUUGGGUGCGGCUUGGCCCGCAGCCUAUUUUUGACACACGAAGGCCCCUCACAAAGUCUCGCGCCAUUCCGAGUCCGGCGGACGAAGUUGGCCAGCCCCACCCCCAAAGGCUAUAGCCCACCCGUUUUUGUGGCCUUUUUCCGCUGGACGAACUUGGCGCCCCGGACUUCGGGCGGUUCUUUUUGGAGGCGGCUUUGCCCCUGGCCUAUUUUUGGCACACGGAGGCCCCUCGCAAAGUCUCGCGGCAUUCCGAGUCCGGCGGACGAAGUUGGCCAGCCCCACCCCCCAAGGCUAUAGCCCACCCGUUUUUGUGGCCUUUUUCCGCUGGACGAACUUGGCGCCCCGGACUUCGGGCAGUUAUUUUUGGGGGCGGCUUUGCCCCUGGCCUAUUUUUGGCACACGGAGGCCCCUCGCAAAGUCUCGCGGCGUUCCGAGUCCGGCGGACGAAGUCGGCCACCAUCACCCCCCAAGGCUAUAGCCCACCCGUUUUUGUGGCCUUUUUCCGCUGGAUGAACUUGGCGCCCAAGCCGUCGGGCGGUUAUUUUUGGGCGCGGCUUUGCCCGCGGCUUAUUUUUAGCACACGGAGGCCCCUCGCAAAGUCUCGCGGCAUUCCGAGUCCGGCGGACGAAGUGGGCAGCCCCAACCCCCAAGGCUAUAGCCCACCCGUUUUUGUAGCCUUUUUCCGCUGGACGAACUUGGUGCCCCGGCCUUCGGGCGGUUAUUUUUGGGCGCGGCUUUGUCCGCGGCCUAUUUUUGACACACGGAGGCCCCUCGCAAAGUCUCGCGCCAUUCCGAGUCCGGCGGACGAAGUUGACCAGCCCCACCCCCCAAGGCUAUAGCCCACCCGUUUUUGUGGCCUUUUUCCGCUGGAUGAACUUGGCGCCCUGGCCUUCGGGCGGUUAAUUUUGGGCGCGGCUUGGCCCGCAGCCUAUUUUUGACACACGAAGGCCUCUCGCAAAGUCUCGCGCCAUUCCGAGUCCGGCGGACGAAGUUGGCCAGUCCCACCCCCCAAGGCUGUAGCCCACCCGUUUUUGUGGGCUUUUUCCGCUGGACGAACUUGGCGGCCCGGCCUUCGGGCGGUAAUUUUUGGGAGCGGCUUUACCCCGGCCUAUUUUUGGUACACCGAAGCCCCUCGCAAAGUCUCGCGGCAUUCCNNNNNNNNNNNNNNNNNNNNNNNNNNNNNNNNNNNNNNNNNNNNNNNNNNNNNNNNNNNNNNNNNNNNNNNNNNNNNNNNNNNNNNNNNNNNNNNNNNNNNNNNNNNNNNNNNNNNNNNNNNNNNNNNNNNNNNNNNNNNNNNNNNNNNNNNNNNNNNNNNNNNNNNNNNNNNNNNNNNNNNNNNNNNNNNNNNNNNNNNNGCCAGCAUCACCCCCCAAGGCUAUAGCCCACCCGUUUUUGUGGCCUUUUUUCCGCUGGAUGAACUUGGCGCCCUGGCCUUCGGGCGGUUAAUUUUGGGCGCGGCUUGGCCCGCAGCCUAUUUUUGACACACGGAGGCCCCUCGCAAAGUCUCGCGGCAUUCGGAGUCGGGCGGACGAAGUGGGCCAGCCACACCCCCCAAGGCUAUAGCCCACCCGUUUUUGUGGGCUUUUUCCGCUGGACGAACUUGGCGCCCCGGCCUUCGGGCGGUAAUUUUUGGGCGCGGCUUUGUCCGCGGCCUAUUUUUGGUACACGGAGGCCCCUCGCAAAGUCUCGCGGCGUUCCGAGUCCGGCGGACGAAGUCGGCCAGCAUCACCCCCCAAGGCUAUAGCCCACCCGUUUUUGUGGCCUUUUUCCGCUGGAUGAACUUGGCGCCCAAGCCGUCGGGUGGUUAUUUUUGGGCGCGGCUUCGGCCGCGUCCGAUUUUUAGCACACGGAGGCCCCUCGCAAAGUCUCGCGGCAUUCCGAGUCCGGCGGACGAAGUGGGCCAGCAUCACCCCCCAAGGCUAUAGCCCACCCGUUUUUGUGGCCUUUUUCCGCUGGACGAAAUUGGCGCCCUGGCCUUCGGGCGGUUAAUUUUGGGCGCGGCUUGGCCCGCAGCCUAUUUUUGACACACGAAGGCCUCUCGCAAAGUCUCGCGCCAUUCCGAGUCCGGCGGACGAAGUUGGCCAGCCCCACCCCCCAAGGCUAUAGCCCACCCGUUUUUGUGGCCUUUUUCCGCUGGACGAACUUGGCGCCCCGGACUUCGGGCGGUUAUUUUUGGGGGCGGCUUUGCCCCUGGCCUAUUUUUGGCACACGGAGGCCCCUCGCAAAGUCUCACGGCAUUCCGAGUCCGGCGGACGAAGUCGGCCAGCAUCACCCCCCAAGGCUAUAGCCCACCCGUUUUUGUGGCCUUUUUCCGCUGGAUGAACUUGGCGCCCCGGACUUCGGGCGGUUAUUUUUGGGGUCGGCUUUGCCCCUGGCCUAUUUUUGGCACACGGAGGCCCCUCGCAAAGUCUCGCGGCAUUCCGAGUCCGGCGGACGAAGUUGGCCAGCCCCACCCCCCAAGGCUAUAGCCCACCCGUUUUUGUGGCCUUUUUCCGCUGGACGAACUUGGCNN